This 503-nucleotide ribosomal RNA is filed under the name uncultured bacterium. RNAcentral describes it as "partial 16S ribosomal RNA". It matches the Rfam family "Bacterial small subunit ribosomal RNA", at positions 30 to 523 of the family's 1533-position model. The record is from RNAcentral.
AUUGAACGCUGGCGGCAGGCUUAACACAUGCAAGUCGAGCGGGGUGAUGGUGCUUGCACUAUCACUUAGCGGCGGACGGGUGAGUAAUGCUUAGGAAUCUGCCUAUUAGUGGGGGACAACAUCUCGAAAGGGAUGCUAAUACCGCAUACGUCCUACGGGAGAAAGCAGGGGAUCACUUGUGACCUUGCGCUAAUAGAUGAGCCUAAGUCGGAUUAGCUAGUUGGUGGGGUAAAGGCCUACCAAGGCGACGAUCUGUAGCGGGUCUGAGAGGGUGAUCCGCCACACGGGGACUGAGACAAGGCCCAGACUCCGUCGGGAGGCAGCAGUGGGGAAUAUUGGAGAAUGGGGGGAACCCUGAUCCAGCCAUGCCGCGUGUGUGAAGAAGGCCUUAUGGUUGUAAAGCACUUUAAGCGAGGAGGAGGCUCUUUUGGUUAAUACCCAAGAUGAGUGGACGUUACUCGCAGAAUAAGCACCGGCUAACCCUGUGCCAGCAGCCGCCGUAA